RNAcentral lists this long non-coding RNA (875 nucleotides) under Trifolium pratense (red clover). RNAcentral describes it as "long non-coding RNA (TPRA_LNC002581)". The record is from RNAcentral. Lineage: Eukaryota; Viridiplantae; Streptophyta; Magnoliopsida; Fabales; Fabaceae.
GGCUGAAAAAAAUAACAACUAUCACAAACAUGAAGGGAAAAAGAAAAAAAAAAAAGGCAUAUCGUUCCGGUACACCAAUAAAUCUCACAUUAUUUGGAAGAAUCUCUACACUUCUCAUCCCCUCAGACGCCUUUUUUUAAAGACAAAACCGUGCGAACUUACAGAAGACCCUAAAGGCAGACAAUACUUCAGAAAUGUGGUUUGAUGUCGGAACAAAUAUACAAGUCUAGCCACUUCCACCAAGAACACUCUUAAGCUUCUUGACAAGAACAGGAUCAAGGAAAGUAGUCUUUGUAAUCAAAGGAGUAGAGAAAUUACUUGCAAAAAGUGCAAAAUCAAGAAUUUGAAGACCAGGACUAGUACUACUAAAAAUAACAAAACCAACAGCAUUUCUCUUACCAGCACCAACUUGAAAAUGCAACAAACCUUGUGGAAAAACCAUAAUCUCACCUUUCUUCAAUGUCUUAACAUAAACAGUGCUAGCUGAUGAAACAAAUCCAGCAGUGAUGUGACCUUGUGUCACAACAAGAAGUUCAUUAGCACCUGGAUGAGUAUGCAAAGGGAUAACACCGCCAACAGCAAUGUCUAACCUUCCUGCAGAGAGACCAAGACCAUUAACACCUGGAAAUUGUCCAACAAAUGCAGGCGUAACAGCGGCGCUGAUUAUGUUUGUUGUGUUUCCUGGUGCAAUUAGGCCAGAAAAUGCAAAAUCAUCUACAGUUACUGUUGCAGCUGGCUUGCAAGGGUAGCCUGAAGGGGUGUCUGGGGCUUUGAGAUCUGCUACACAGAAAUCUUGGUUUGCAGCAUUGGAAAUGGAUAGGAAAAGAGAUAGGAGGAAAAUUAUUUGAAACAUGUUUGUUUGUGUUUGAUUAUAU